ACAGCAGUCGCCGCGGUAAUGCGUAGGUGGCAAGCGUUGUCCGGAAUUACAGGGCGUAAAGCGUGCGUAGGCGGUGAGUUAAGUCUGCUGUGAAAUCCCCGGGCUCAACCUGGGAAUGGCAGUGGAUACUGGCUCGCUAGAGUGUGUCAGAGGAUGGUGGAAUUCCCGGUGUAGCGGUGAAAUGCGUAGAGAUGUGGAGGAACACCAGUGGCGAAGGCGACUCCCUGGUCUGUAACUGACGCUGAGGAGCGAAAGCGUGGGGAGCGAACAGGAUUAGAUACCCCAGUAGUCCCUGUCUCUUAUAC
RNAcentral lists this ribosomal RNA (305 nucleotides) under uncultured bacterium. RNAcentral's name for it is "partial 16S ribosomal RNA". It matches the Rfam family "Bacterial small subunit ribosomal RNA", at positions 508 to 807 of the family's 1533-position model. The record is from RNAcentral.